GACGAACGCUGGCGGCGUGCUUAACACAUGCAAGUCGAACGGAAAGGCCCUGCUUUUGUGGGGUGCUCGAGUGGCGAACGGGUGAGUAACACGUGAGUAACCUGCCCUUGACUUUGGGAUAACUUCAGGAAACUGGGGCUAAUACCGGAUAGGAGCUCCUGCUGCAUGGUGGGGGUUGGAAAGUUUCGGCGGUUGGGGAUGGACUCGCGGCUUAUCAGCUUGUUGGUGGGGGAGUGGCUUACCAAGGCUUUGACGGGUAGCCGGCCUGAGAGGGUGACCGGCCACAUUGGGACUGAGAUACGGCCCAGACUCCUACGGGAGGCAGCAGUGAGGAAUAUUGCACAAUGGGCGGAAGCCUGAUGCAGCAACGCCGCGUGCGGGAUGACGGCCUUCGGGUUGUAAACCGCUUUCGCCUGUGACGAAGCGUGAGUGACGGUAAUGGGUAAAGAAGCACCGGCUAACUACGUG
This 468-nucleotide ribosomal RNA is filed under the name uncultured bacterium. Its description in RNAcentral is "partial 16S ribosomal RNA". It matches the Rfam family "Bacterial small subunit ribosomal RNA", at positions 28 to 507 of the family's 1533-position model. The record is from RNAcentral.